This 468-nucleotide ribosomal RNA is filed under the name uncultured bacterium. RNAcentral describes it as "partial 16S ribosomal RNA". It matches the Rfam family "Bacterial small subunit ribosomal RNA", at positions 28 to 507 of the family's 1533-position model. The record is from RNAcentral.
GACGAACGCUGGCGGCGUGCUUAACACAUGCAAGUCGAACGGAAAGGCCCUGCUUUUGUGGGGUGCUCGAGUGGCGAACGGGUGAGUAACACGUGAGUAACCUGCCCUUGACUUUGGGAUAACUUCAGGGAGCUGGGGCUAAUACCGGAUAGGAGCUCCUGCUGCAUGGUGGGGGUUGGAAAGUUUCGGCGGUUGGGGAUGGACUCGCGGCUUAUCAGCUUGUUGGUGGGGUAGUGGCUUACCAAGGCUUUGACGGGUAGCCGGCCUGAGAGGGUGACCGGCCACAUUGGGACUGAGAUACGGCCCAGACUCCUACGGGAGGCAGCAGUGGGGAAUAUUGCACAAUGGGCGGAAGCCUGAUGCAGCAACGCCGCGUGCGGGAUGACGGCCUUCGGGUUGUAAACCGCUUUCGCCUGUGACGAAGCGUGAGUGACGGUAAUGGGUAAAGAAGCACCGGCUAACUACGUG